CCAAUAGCGUAUAUUAAAGUUGUUGCAGUUAAAAAGCUCGUAGUUGAAUUUUAGAUCUGGCCGGGCGGUCCGUCUUUGGCGAGUACUGUCCUGUGUCGGGUCUUCCUUCUGGUGAACCAGUAUGUCCUUUAUUGGGUGUGCCGGGGAGCCAGGACCAUUACCUUGAAAAAAUUAGAGUGUUUAAAGCGGGCUAUUGCUUGAAUAGAUUAGCAUGGAAUAAUAGAAUAGGACGUUGUGGUUCUAUUUUGUUGGUUUCUAGGACCACCGUAAUGAUUAAUAGGGAUAGUUGGGGGCAUUAGUAUUCAAUUGUCAGAGGUGAAAUUCUUGGAUUUAUUGAAGACUAACUACUGCGAAAGCAUUUGCCAAGGAUGUUUUCAUUAAUCAAGAACGAAAGUUAGGGGAUCGAAGACGAUCAGAUACCGUCGUAGUCUUAACCAUAAACUAUGCCGACUAGGAAUCGGGCGACGUUAUUUUAAUGACUCGCUCGGCGCCUUAUG
RNAcentral lists this ribosomal RNA (497 nucleotides) under uncultured Glomeromycotina. RNAcentral describes it as "partial small subunit ribosomal RNA". It matches the Rfam family "Eukaryotic small subunit ribosomal RNA", at positions 591 to 1092 of the family's 1831-position model. Lineage: Eukaryota; Fungi; Glomeromycota. The record is from RNAcentral.